AUACUGGAGCCUCAAAAGCCAUGCUUCAGCCACUGCUCUACAGCCCUGGAGUGAAGAUAAUAUCACUCUUAUUGUAUAGUAGUUGUUCCUUGUAGGUGAAAAGUCCACAGUUUCAGCUCCUGCCUGAUGCCCAGAACUAACAAAUGGCCAAAGAAUAAAAGCCACAGAGUAUCACCAUAGGAGCAUGGAGGUUAAGACCGAAGACCCAAGAGUCUCCAAAUCAGGGAGGCAAGGCUGCAGGAUGUACAGCCAGUUUACUUAUAAAUGACUCUUUCUUUGUGUUCUCACCAUUUCAAGAUCAACACAAUGGGAGAAAUUCUGAGAGCCAACCAUUGCCCACUGAAAUCAUAAUACAACUCCUACCCUGUCAAAAUAUAAGACUAAGUGAUUCAAACAUCCAUUUUAAAGACAUUAGUCUUAGCUUUCAUAGAAAGUUUUUGCUGAAGAAACAUGGAAAUCCACUUGGGAUUUAGCACACUGUGGUGAGUGUACUUUCAGUUACAUAGAUUCAAAUAUCAAAACUAAAAAUACAAGAAAGCAGAGGACGUGUAAAACAUUCCCAGCUGACUGUUACCUGACUACUGACAGUAGGAGGGAAAGAACUAGUCAAAUAAAUUCUUGUUUUUAAACAAAAUAGCUCUUGGUUUUGUGAAGAGCAAAAUGGCAUCCUCUUUCUGUUCUGAUAUAAUUCAGCCAACUAAGAGGUCUGUAUUUGCACCAUUUAACUGAACAAAUUUUACAUUCUCAAGAAAAAGAAAGAAGUAAGCUACUGAUAUCAAC
RNAcentral lists this long non-coding RNA (780 nucleotides) under Callithrix jacchus (white-tufted-ear marmoset). Its description in RNAcentral is "lncRNA (ENSCJAG00000079147.1)". The record is from RNAcentral. Lineage: Eukaryota; Metazoa; Chordata; Mammalia; Primates; Cebidae.